UUUUGCUGAGAGGUAUAUGAACAUGUUAAACGAUGGUAGAUCCCGCAUUUUGUGUAUAAAUCUUUAAAUUGAUUAGAUAGAAAUUCACCACCAUUGUCAUAUUGAAAUUGCUUGAUAGAAGUAGAGAAAAGAUUUUCUACAAGCACUUUAAAUUUCACAAAUGUAGGAAAAACAUCUGACUUGUGAUAUAAGGGAUACAACCAUGAAAAUCUGGAAAAAUCAUCAAUAAACAAGACAUAGAAUUUACAUCCACUUAUUGAACUAAUUGGUGUAACCCAAACAUUCGAAUGAACUAGCUCUAAACGUCUUGUUGUGUGAUGAUCUGAAGAAGGAAAUGACAAUUGUUUUACUUUGCCUAGUUGACAAGAAUUGCAAAAGUCAAGUUUAUUUGCUGAAUUUAAAAUAGGAAGAUUGUGUGAAUGAACUAAAUUGCGCAAAACAGAUGUUGCUGGAUGCCCUAAUCUAGAAUGCCAACGAUUUAAGGAUGCUUUGACUCCUACAGUAUCUGUAUGACACUGCAGUUUAUUUAUGGAGGUAUUAUUGAAUGCAUGUGGAUAAAGACCAUUCUCAACCAUUCCGUGGAGCAGAAUCAUGUCCGCGUUUUUCUCUUUCACAGAAAAAUCAUUUCCAGUAACUAAAAAAUAACAAUCUGUUAGUGCGGA
This 662-nucleotide long non-coding RNA is filed under the name Olea europaea subsp. europaea. The record is from RNAcentral. Lineage: Eukaryota; Viridiplantae; Streptophyta; Magnoliopsida; Lamiales; Oleaceae.